This 633-nucleotide ribosomal RNA is filed under the name uncultured Cortinarius. Its description in RNAcentral is "eukaryotic LSU rRNA". The stretch from base 232 to 385 matches the Rfam family "5.8S ribosomal RNA". The record is from RNAcentral. Lineage: Eukaryota; Fungi; Basidiomycota; Agaricomycetes; Agaricales; Cortinariaceae.
CUUGGUCAUUUAGAGGAAGUAAAAGUCGUAACAAGGUUUCCGUAGGUGAACCUGCGGAAGGAUCAUUAUUGAAAUAAACCUGAUGGGUUGUUGCUGGUUCUCUAGGGAGCAUGUGCACGCCUUGUCAUCUUUAUAUCUCCACCUGUGCACCUUUUGUAGACCUUCCAGGUCUAUGUUGCUCCAUUUACCCCAAUGUAUGUUAAUAGAAUGUUGUGUUUAUAAAAUCUAUACAACUUUCAGCAACGGAUCUCUUGGCUCUCGCAUCGAUGAAGAACGCAGCGAAAUGCGAUAAGUAAUGUGAAUUGCAGAAUUCAGUGAAUCAUCGAAUCUUUGAACGCACCUUGCGCUCCUUGGUAUUCCGAGGAGCAUGCCUGUUUGAGUGUCAUUAAUAUAUAUAUCAACCUUCUCUUGUUGGAGUGGUUUGGAUGUGGGGGUUUGCUGGCCUCUUAAAAGGUUCAGCUCCCUUGAAAUGCAUUAGCAGAACGGACUGUUCAUUGGUGUGAUAACUAUCUACGCUAUUGAAUGUGAGGGGAUGUUCAGCUUUCUAACUGUCCUUGGACAAUUUAUCAUUUUAUGUGACCUCAAAUCAGGUAGGACUACCCGCUGAACUUAAGCAUAUCAAUAAGCGGAGGA